UCCCUCCCCCUCCUUCCUCCCUCCGUUCCUCCCUUUUUCCCUUACUCUCUUCCUCCCUUCCUCCUUUCCUUUCUCCCUUCCUCCUCUCCUUCCUUCUUCCCUGCCUCCCUUCUUCCCUUCCUCCCUUCCUCCCUUCCUUCCUCCCAUGUGCUCACUACAUACAAAAUGGCCACUUUCAGCUUCCCCUACUUGGGAUCAAUGAGGCAACCUGGUAUGGUAGAAAGGCAACAGAAAGAGAUUGCUUAAAUAGAGCUGGGGACUCAACAUU
This 268-nucleotide long non-coding RNA is filed under the name Pan troglodytes (chimpanzee). RNAcentral's name for it is "long non-coding RNA NONPTRT004768". The record is from RNAcentral. Lineage: Eukaryota; Metazoa; Chordata; Mammalia; Primates; Hominidae.